This 4414-nucleotide long non-coding RNA is filed under the name Equus caballus (horse). RNAcentral describes it as "lncRNA (ENSECAG00000045225.1)". Lineage: Eukaryota; Metazoa; Chordata; Mammalia; Perissodactyla; Equidae. The record is from RNAcentral.
UUCUCUGUCAGAGAACAGAGGGCAAGGAUUUAGUUUGUAGUCAUACUUCUCUACUUUAAGAUGUUAUUCUAAAUACACAUUCUCUCUUUAAAACUUCCUGUGGAUUCUUAGUUAAUCACUUCAUCAUUUCCAUUAUAUCAUUUUGUUAGUAAAUUUAUUUUAAAGUGAUUCUAACAAGAGCAUCUUUUUUCCUUCUUCUCGCUUUAAUAAGAUAAAUGAUCCAUUAAUAAGAGUAAAGAUCUUUAAAUGCUGUUUUCUCCUGUCCUGUUCGCCCCUAUUCCUAAUUUUCACUUUUGAAUUUUCUGUUUCCAUAAAAAGGCUUUAUAAAUCAGCCUUUUGCUUGGCUACGUAGUCCUUUGUCCCCUGAAAUAAAAGUCACCAUGAAGUCUAGUUGGUUUAGCCUGAAGCAUCUCCCAUAAUGAAAUGGAAAGGAAAAGGAAGAUGUGAGUAAUAAAGCUGGAGCUGCUCAUUUUUCAAGUCUCUGAGAAGCAAGGACUAUAUUUUGCUGACAGAGUGCUGAUGGAAAAAGUGGAGGACUAGCAAAGGCCAGCUUAAAGUAUUUGCUUUCCUCACCUACUUCUCUAUGCUCAUAGGUAGUUCUGUAGGGUGAAGAAGCUCCAUCCUUGCCGCAUCUGGACUAUAGAAUCUCCAGCAUACCUCCCCGCAUAUGUAGACUGUACAUACACACACACUACGUUUCAUAGACCUAAAGACAAAUGCCAAGACAGUGCAAUCUGCAUGUCAUUCCUGUAAGUAGAGUCUCAGGGCUAAGUCAGAAUUAUUUUUACAGGGUUGGAUUAUGUCGUAACCCCAGAGAAUACGCUCACUUUCACUAGAUGUGUGUGAAAAGCAAGCAAUCUGCUCCCUCCAAAGGAAAACACAAUUUUCAAUUAGAAAUAAGUACAAACUGCUGGUCUUUCCUCAGUAGUACCGAAAUCCAACGGUUUUCAACUGUUCAAUUAUGUGAGUUUCAAUACUUGAACAAUUAUAAUCUAAAACAAAUAGUCUUUGAGAGCAUUCUAUUCCCUCUUUAAUCAUCGUUUUCUGCUUCAGUAGUCAGCUUUCCUGACUGCAUGCUCUGGCUAGCAGGAUCACCAUAAUCCUCCACUUUAACCCUCAGUUUUUGAUAACUGCUGUUUACAAAAGGACUUUAUGGAUUGUGGUCACUUUACAGUAAAACCAAAAAAAAAAAAUGUACAAUUUCGAAUUCUAAGGGGGCUGUUUCAUUGAUAUCAUUUCCACCAAACAAUCUAUUUAUGCAGGCAACAGUAUAUUUACUUACCUUAAAAUAUAUUUAACACCUGCUGCAUUGUUCAUUGUCUGUAUAGGUUAGAUUGCUGUGGUUUCAAUGAGAAUUCUUCUAGAGCAUUUGACAUUUGUCACUUCUCUAGAUAUAUUUUUAUGGAUAGCUUAGCCUCUUCUAUUCAUUCUCAACUGCAUACAGGAGAUUCAUUUUAAGGAUCCUAGGGCUGAUUUUUUUAAAACAUAUUUUGUUCUCUUUACUAAUAACAGAGACGGUACUAACCUGACCUCCACUUUUUGUCAGAUCUUUUCCUACCACAAAGUAACAGGAGCAGGAUCAGAACAAAUGAAAUAGAUCAUUCUUUCUUUAUUCAUUCAUGAAGUAUUUAUUGAAAGCCCAGUGUUCCAAGGGUUGUUACAGAUGUUGGUGUGCAAAUAUAAGUUACACCUUGUUCUUACCCUUGGGGAGCUCCAAGUCUAGCAAGCGAGGCAUAUAUUGUUUAAUAGGGAUAUGCAUAACAUGCUAUAGAAAGUAGAGCAAAGGUCCUCCUCAAGUAUUUCUAUAAGGCCCUUGUUUGAGACAAGAUAAUAAGAUAAGAGACAAGAAAAAGAUGAAUUUCUGGAAAAUAUGAUUUUUUUCUUGUUUAUUGCUUCCACCUUCAACAGGCUGCUUUGUUUAUCCUUCUCAAGGCAAAUAUCUAUCUAUGCAGAUAUAUUUCUUUAGAGGGAGAUGAAUUGACUCUUUAGGGGGAGCAAGAGUAAAUGUUCUAAAGUACUUUUUAAGAAGCUGAAUUCUCUCCAUUAUUGCUUCAAUUCUGGUUGGGGGAUUCUGAAAAUCCUCCUUCUCAUCAGUCAGACCUAAGUGACGAUUUGGGGACUCUCUUUGGGGUAGGAAACAACAAUCUCCCCUUCUGCUCUUCUUCUUUUCUCAGUUAUUUUUUUGCCAUCUAUUGUUGACCAUCUGUUGUUUUCCAUCUAUUGUUAAAAUGCCAUGUCAUUUUUCUUCCAGACAUUCCUUAAGCUCUUUGUUGUAUUCCAGCUCCUCCUAAAACCGUCCUUUGUCCUGAUGAACAAUUUUGACUCUGUUUAGGAAGAUCUUUUAGAACUAGAUGAAGCAUAUUUUGAGUAAAUAAUUGACUAAAAGGUGUCAUCCACUGAAGUGAGGUCUCACCUGUGUGCUCUGGGUGAAUUUUUCCAAUCCUGAAAGUCACACAUGUCUGUUCUCUGCAGGAAGCUCAUUCAGUUAGCAGAGCCACUUUGGGAGGCCACAAGCAGAGCAUCUCCUCCAAGAUAUACAGGGAGAUAGGAAUCAGGCUGUUGAGUUCUUUCUUAUAAAAAGACUUGACAGUUGGUCCACCAACACCCUGGCUUCCUUGAAUUCUCCCAUAGCUACAAUUCCUCAAAACUACAUUCUAACACCUGCCUGCCACGAGAAUUUGAAACACAGUGUAUAACUCUGAUACUCAUUUUCCUUAACCUAAAGGCUUGGACAUACUUAGUCUUCAACUGUCCUGUAGGUCACAAGUAGACCAAAUAAAUAACAAAGCUUCCUUGUUUCUGCAAAUGCAAAAGUGGUUAAUGAAAGAAGGUACAGGCAAACUCAAAUCUUUCAGAAUGCUUGGAGGAUAACAGUGCUAUUUCAUGUCUCUCAUGCAGUUUAAAAUGCUUUCUUUAAAAGACACGUAGUGUAAUUGAAUUACUUCCAUAUACUGUCCCUGAGUCCUCCUUAACCUCUCCUCCCAACCUCUCAAUCAUACUCCUGUUUGGCAUGCCAUAAUGGUGUGAAGGUGUGAUACUCUUCAUUCCUGACAGUGAGUACUGCCAGGGACCCAUCAUCUAACACUAUGUGGGGACACUGUUCUCUUCAAUGCUCCCAAGUGACACAGGGAAAACUUUACAAAAUAGCGGAACAAACUCAAGCGAGUAGUCCUAGGCCAUGACCAAAGGUGAAGCUGAUUGUUUUAGUGAUUAAAUUCUGGUCGUAUUUUUCUUAGCUUCAUAUUCUUCUAUACCUCAGAUGCCAGUAGCCUCAGAGGACAUGAACAAGGUGCAGGGUGUGCAACAGGAGCAUUGUGUAACACUGCACACCCCUUGGAAGGCCUCCCCAUAUUUAAUAUUUAGGAGAUAAUAUUAAUGGGCAUCUGACUAGUCAUACUUUUCCAUUGUAAUCAACCCAUCCCACUUUCACAUAAAUAUUAUUAGUCUCUUCUCUUUGAAUGGCAGCGUCAAUCUGUGUUACCUUGUCCUGCCUUAUACUCAUGCAAAAAAUACCAAACCUUGCUUAAAGCAGCAUAGAUAUAUCAUGAGAGGGACUUUGUCUUACUGAGGUCCAACACCAAGAAUUUUCUCCUUCUGAAUCUGGUAGUUGAUGAUAUCCUGAUAUCCUGUGCUGUCCUGGACUGUAACUCCCCUCAGUCAACUGGAAGAGGCAAAAAGAGAGCAGAGUUGUCAUUGGGAAUAGAAGUGCAGGCUUGGGGGGAACUAAAGGUCUGCCUCCAGGAUAGGACAAGUAAUGACUCAGCAAACCUUUUCUGAAGGCCAAAUAGUCAAUAUUUUAGGCUUUGCAGACCAAACAGUCUCUGUUGCAACCUCUAAUGUUGUAGCAGGAAGGCAGCCAUAUGUAGAUCGAUAGACUUGGCUGCGUUUCAUAAAACUUUAUUUUCAAAAACAGCGGGUCAUAUUUGGUCCAUAGGCUAUAGUUUGCUGAUCUCUAUGACAGAGCAUUACAACAAUGUCCAUUUCAGUUGGGAAAUCAGUCUCACUGGUGUGUAGUGGUCCUCUUUUUUUGAGGAACGAGAAAGAAUAGGGAAACUAUUAACAAUUAAACAAUAGAAUGCAAAAUAACCUCCCCCCCUCCCCAGAAAAUACAUAUGUCAGACUCUUUAUAAUGGCAAAAGCACAAAACAGGUCACCUUUCUUUGUAGAUCUGCCAGAGUCUAGCUUUUUCUUUUGACCUUCUCACUUUUGUUCCCAAAACAGAAUCCCAAGUGAUGUUGCCUCGUUCCAAGUCAGUUUUGUAGACCAUGUAACAUGUCUUAAUACACUGUAUGGGCAAAAAUAAAAGUUAGCCUUAGAUUUCUUUGUUUUCUAUGGUUACUGUUGUACAGAAGAAAGACAAACUGUAAAUAAUGUAUAUUUAAUAAAGAGAGAAUUUUGUAUGAUUUUGUGUGGA